Oxyura jamaicensis (ruddy duck) is the source of this 549-nucleotide long non-coding RNA. RefSeq lists it as uncharacterized. The record is from RefSeq and is a predicted model, not a curated record. The transcript has 3 exons. NCBI's taxonomy places the organism in Eukaryota, Metazoa, Chordata, Aves, Anseriformes, Anatidae.
GGGCGCAGGGGGCUAUGACCCCCGUGGGGACGCCCUCUACGCCCCCCCCCGCUACGAGGACCUGGAGGAUUUCGAGGGGUCCCGGAGGGGCCCCCCUCGCUCCUCCCGGCCCCGCAGCCCCCCCAGUGCCCCACAGGACCCCCCCCCGUGGCUCUUCCAGCCCCACAGCGUGGCCGAGCGGCCAGGGCGAGCCAGCGAGGAUGACCCCCAGGACGAGGCGCUGCCGGCAGAGCUGUGCGGGGUGCUGAGCGGCUGUGAGCAUGGGCGCUGCGUGCGGGUGCCCCAGGGCUUCACCUGCGCCUGCGACCCCGGGUACCGGCUGGAUGCGGCCCGCGUGGCCUGCGUGGACUUCGAUGAGUGCUCGGAGGCCGCCCUGUGCCGGGGGGGGCGCUGCCUCAACACCCCUGGCUCCUUCCGCUGCCUCUGCCCCCCCGGCUCCAUCCCGGCACAGGGACCCCCCCGCUGCGUCCCCGCACGCCCCCCUGCCUGAGCCCCCCCCCCCCCCCCCCCCCCCCCCGGGGGGGGGGGGGGGGGGGUCGGGGGGUGGGG